RNAcentral lists this ribosomal RNA (256 nucleotides) under uncultured bacterium. Its description in RNAcentral is "partial 16S ribosomal RNA". It matches the Rfam family "Bacterial small subunit ribosomal RNA", at positions 524 to 776 of the family's 1533-position model. The record is from RNAcentral.
UACAGAGACUGCAAGCGUUAUUCGGAUUCACUGGGCGUAAAGGGUGCGUAGGUGGCCUGACAAGUUAUCAGUGGCAAAUCGAGGCUCAACCUCGUGGAAACUGGUAAUACUGUUCGGCUUGAGUACAGGAGAGGUUAACGGAACUCUAUGUGGAGCGGUAAAAUGCACAGAUAUAUAGAAGAACAUCAAUAAAGGCGAAGGCAGUUAACUAUUCUGUUACUGACGCUGAGGCACGAAAGCGUGGGGAGCAAAACGG